ACACAAGGUUAGGCUGUGAAACACAAGCCAAUUGGAAUCGGGUGUAGUUAGCUCUUAACCCUAACAUUGAGAGUUAGGGUGAAGCAGAUGAAAUGGGAAGUGAGGGUAAGACCUCACAGCUCUUAUCCCAUGUAGUUAGCUCUUAACCCUAACAUUGAGAGUUAGGGUGAAGCAGAUGAAAUGGGAAGUGAGGGUAAGACCU
Molecule: long non-coding RNA, 202 nt
Filed under: Lathyrus oleraceus (garden pea)
Lineage: Eukaryota; Viridiplantae; Streptophyta; Magnoliopsida; Fabales; Fabaceae
Description: Pisum sativum (pea) long non-coding RNA (PSAT_LNC030225)
Source: RNAcentral